UAAACAGGGCAGCCGCAGGGAGGAGGAACACAAGGCGCAGGGAGACAGAAAGGCAGGGGCGGCCAUGAUGGAUCCCAGCGCCACAAACAAGGGGCCAAGCCCGCGCCGGGCCGCCUGGAUUCCCGUAUGAAGAUGACAACAUUUGGGUCCUCUCCUUCCUUCAUCGCAAAAAGAGUGCCAAAGAUGGAAUAGCAUAAGGAAAAAGCACAAUACUGCCUUAGAUCAAAAAACAAUCCUUGGCAUGCUGAGUGAGGACAUACAUUACAAGAAGAGUCCCAAGCUCAAUCCUAGGUAUGAUCAACAAUCUUUCUAAAUCUAAAUCAUUUCUAAUCUAAAUGUUUAGGACAAAGACACACAAAUCAUCUUUUAUAGCCAAAGCCAUGCACUCAGAGGUGCACAGCCUACUUCAGUGCCCUGAAUGAUUCUGUUCUGUAAGUGCCA
This 441-nucleotide long non-coding RNA is filed under the name Struthio camelus australis. RNAcentral's name for it is "lncRNA (ENSSCUG00000007464.1)". The record is from RNAcentral. Lineage: Eukaryota; Metazoa; Chordata; Aves; Struthioniformes; Struthionidae.